RNAcentral lists this ribosomal RNA (465 nucleotides) under uncultured bacterium. RNAcentral describes it as "partial 16S ribosomal RNA". It matches the Rfam family "Bacterial small subunit ribosomal RNA", at positions 338 to 795 of the family's 1533-position model. The record is from RNAcentral.
CCUACGGGUGGCAGCAGUGGGGAAUAUUGCGCAAUGGGCGAAAGCCUGACGCAGCGACGCCGCGUGAGGGAUGAAGGUCUUCGGAUCGUAAACCUCUGUCAGCAGGGAAGGACGGUCACUGUGCUAAUCAGCAGUGAAUUGACGGUACCUGCAAAGGAAGCACCGGCUAACUCCGUGCCAGCCGCCGCGGUAAUACGGAGGGUGCGAGCGUUAAUCGGAAUUACUGGGCGUAAAGCGCUCGUAGGCGGUAUGUCAAGUCAAGGGUGAAAUCCCCGCGCUCAACGUGGGAACUGCCUUUGAAACUGGCAAACUGGAGUGUGUGAGAGGAUAGUGGAAUUCCAGGGGUAGGAGUGAAAUCCGUAGAUAUCUGGAGGAACAUCAGUGGCGAAGGCGACUAUCUGGCACAUAACUGACGCUGAGGAGCGAAAGCGUGGGUAGCAAACAGGAUUAGAUACACUUGUAGUC